GUUGCGUUGUCAGUGGCGCUUUUGCCGUCCUCGAUGCUGGUGCGGCUCAUAAAUUAAGUCCUCAUAACGGAGUGCCGACUAAUAUGUAUACACGAACAAAUGAAAAUCUGCGGUAUAUGUUCGAUCAUAAGCAAAAUUGAAAGCGCUACCGUGAAAUAAACAAGAAAAGUAAAUUGUACGUGUAAUAUACAUACGUAUACGUAUUGUGGUCCGACGUUGUUCCAAUCCAGGAGGUGGUCAUCCAUGAUUUAUACUUCCCGUUCGGACACAAUGUGUGCUUGCGCUACUUGUCAGACAUUUUCAUUGUCACCCCGAAGGAGUUGGGUGAGAGGUGAUUUCAUCAUAUGCCAUCAAAACAACACUAUCUUCCUUCACAUCGUCGUCGUGAUCCUGAUGGUGGCAUCAAAGGAAAAAUGAGACGCCGAGCUUUUGGUUUGAUUGAAGGUUCUCCUGAUAUUUGACAGAUUCGAUUGAAAAUCCUUCGGGGCUCCUGCGUUUCUCCUCCACGGACACUACCGAGGGAACGCCACUCAAGCUGGACGCCAUCAGAAGGAUGUUUGCAGAGUGUGACAGCGGCAAAAGGGUAACUAAAAGAGUGGUGGAUGGCAGGAAAAUAAAUUGAAAGUGCCUCGAACGAAAAUUGACGAGCAGCCACUGCUGAUGUCAAGGUUUGAGUCGGAGGCGAAGUUGGAGUCCGAGUUUGUCUGAUUGGCGAGAGGUGAUUGAACUUAUUUGCAUAAAGUAGCAGGGCUGUAGACUAAUUUCUCUUUAGUAAGGUUGGCGGUGGAAGUGUAGUCAGACCCACACAUCUUGUGGGUUUUCGGGCACAAAAUACGGAUUGACAAUUGCCAAGCUGCAGAAAGGGAAAAACACAUCUGUUUUGCUGAAUUUUCAUUCAAGCAAUUGUUUCCCAGACAGACUCUGAGGUGAGGUGAAUGGUGUCUUGGUACCGUCGACAGAAAAGUUCAAUCAGAAAUUAAAAACACCCGCCGACGAGGCCGAAUAUUGUCUAAUGAACUAAAGCGUACAAAUCUACCCCCUGCAAAGGAAAAUCAUUUUAUACAAUGAGCAAGAAGGAAAAGGAAGAAAGGACAAUGGGAGAUGUUGAUGUGUAACCGGAAUAUUAUAUCGUGUGUCACAGACACACUUGAAGGAUUCGACAGCACUUCAGACAUCUUUUGUGAAGGGUCGACCAUCUCGCCGCCAAAAAAGAAAACGAAAAUAUUAUACCCUUUUUGGCGUGAAAGCGUUUUGUCAUGUUUAAUUUUUUUAAGAGCUAGUGAAUAUUUUCUGUUUAUAAUUAACAAGUUAAUGCACACAUUUUUUAUAUUAAAUAUUUAGAGGAUAAUAGCUAAUAUUACGUUUUUUUGGACUGCCUAUAAUUUAAACGCAUUGAUGACUUUCAUGGGCAGUUGAAAUUCGGAAAUAGUUCAGCUAGAACUAUAAUUGUAUAAUUUUUUU
This is a long non-coding RNA of Drosophila sechellia, 1461 nucleotides long. RefSeq lists it as uncharacterized. The record is from RefSeq and is a predicted model, not a curated record. NCBI's taxonomy places the organism in Eukaryota, Metazoa, Arthropoda, Insecta, Diptera, Drosophilidae. The transcript has 3 exons.